Molecule: ribosomal RNA, 233 nt
Filed under: uncultured bacterium
Lineage: Bacteria
Description: partial 16S ribosomal RNA
Rfam family: Bacterial small subunit ribosomal RNA
Source: RNAcentral
AUGUGCCUACGGGGCGCAGCAGUGGGGAAUAUUGGACAAUGGGGGGAACCCUGAUCCAGCGACGCCGCGUGAGUGAAGAAGAAUUUCGGUAUGUAAAGCUCUAUCAGCAGGGAAGAAAGAAAUGACGGUACCUGACUAAGAAGCCCCGGCUAACUACGUGCCAGCAGCCGCGGUAAUACGUAGGGGGCAAGCGUUAUCCGGAUUUACUGGGUGUAAGGGGGGCGUAGACGGCG